RNAcentral lists this ribosomal RNA (467 nucleotides) under uncultured bacterium. RNAcentral's name for it is "partial 16S ribosomal RNA". It matches the Rfam family "Bacterial small subunit ribosomal RNA", at positions 28 to 507 of the family's 1533-position model. The record is from RNAcentral.
GAUGAACGCUGACAGAAUGCUUAACACAUGCAAGUCAACUUGAAUUUGGGUUUUUAACUUAGGUUUGGGUGGCGGACGGGUGAGUAACGCGUAAAGAACUUGCCUCACAGCUAGGGACAACAUUUGGAAACGAAUGCUAAUACCUAAUAUUAUGAUAAUAGGGCAUCCUAUAAUUAUGAAAGCUAUAAGCGCUGUGAGAGAGCUUUGCGUCCCAUUAGCUAGUUGGAGAGGUAACGGCUCACCAAGGCGAUGAUGGGUAGCCGGCCUGAGAGGGUGAUCGGCCACAAGGGGACUGAGACACGGCCAUUACUCCUACGGGAGGCAGCAGUGGGGAAUAUUGGACAAUGGACCGAGAGUCUGAUCCAGCAAUUCUGUGUGCACGAUGAAGUUUUUCGGAAUGUAAAGUGCUUUCAGUUGGGAAGAAACAAAUGACGGUACCAACAGAAGAAGUGACGGCUAAAUACGUG